CUCGGGGCUUCUCGACAAAUUGGAAGGCCCCCUAACACCGGGCAUCCCUGACCACAGGGCAACAGUUAGCUGGGGCUGAGAAACAGCUGCUCCCUUCAAGGGUUCUAAUAUUCUGUAUCACGAAGACAGAAACUGAUGCUCACGGAAGCUAACUUCUCCAAGGCCACACAGCCAAGGUUUGAAUCCAGACGGUCUGGCUCCAGAACCCACACACUUGACCGCUCCACCGUACAGUCCCCAGCUGAGAGGAGACACUGGAAUUUAGAGCCGCAUUUUACAGCUGAAGAAACGAAGCCUAGGAAGAGUGAUUUCUGCCUUCUACACCUGGCACGCAUCUCUGCUGCUGUGGACAGGGCUUCAGCAAGGGUGAGAACUGACAGCUGCCGCCACUCCUCCCCGGCUCCCUACUGCUGAGCAGCCAAAGGGCUUGGGGUCUCCACCACCACCUCCACCACUGCUGG
Molecule: long non-coding RNA, 461 nt
Organism: Balaenoptera musculus (blue whale)
Lineage: Eukaryota; Metazoa; Chordata; Mammalia; Artiodactyla; Balaenopteridae
Exons: 3
Source: RefSeq, a predicted model, not a curated record